CCUACGGGAGGCAGCAGUGAGGAAUAUUGGUCAAUGGCCGGAAGGCUGAACCAGCCAUGCCGCGUGAAGGUCAGUGCCCUAUGGGCGUUAAACUUCUUUUGUGCGGGAGCAAUAAUGGUCACGUGUGGCCAGACGAGAGUACCGUACGAAUAAGCAUCGGCUAACUCCGUGCCAGCAGCCGCGGUAAUACGGGGGAUGCAAGCGUUAUCCGGAUUUAUUGGGGUUAAAGGGUGCGUAAGCUGUGAGGUAAGUCAGCGGUGAAAUGCCGCCGCUCAACGGGGUGAAGUGCCAUUGAUACUGCCUUGCUGGAAUGCGGAUGCCGUAGGAGGAAUGUGUGGUGUAGCGGUGAAAUGCAUAGAUAUCACACAGAACACCGAUUGCGAAGGCAUCUCACGAAUCCGCGAUUGACGCUGAUGCACGAAAGCGUGGGUAUCAAACAGGAUUAGAUACCCGGGUAGUC
Molecule: ribosomal RNA, 460 nt
Filed under: uncultured bacterium
Lineage: Bacteria
Description: partial 16S ribosomal RNA
Rfam family: Bacterial small subunit ribosomal RNA
Source: RNAcentral